CUUUACCUUCAUAGAACUUACAUGACAGUGGGAACCCAGACAACUGAUAAUGGGGAUAUGCUAAACAUAUAUUUGUGAUAAUUUUCAAGGGGAAAAAGAUAGUGAGAAAUGGAACAAGAUUUGAUCCUUUAGCUGGGGUGGGAUGAGGAGGACUCACUGUGAGGAAAACCCCUUUGAGGAACCACCUAGAAGAGGGAAGGAGCAAGCAUGUACACCAAGGAGGGGCAUUGAAGCAGAGGAGACAGUAGGGCUGAGGGCUGCGGCAGUGAAUAGAGCAGGUUGUCAGUUGAGAAGAAAAAGAAGAGGGGCAAGGGAUGAAGCCAGACACCAAUUUAGGAGGCAUCUGCAAGGUCCCAGGUGACAGACACCUGCGCUUACACGAGGUUGUGGCAGUGAAGGUGCUGAAAUGAGAAAUAAAAAAAUCACGGAAUGUCACAGAAGUCAUAGAACUUGACAAAGGACACACAGCUCAGUAUGAAUCCAGGUUGGCUUGACACGAUACUGCCUGCAGGACAACAUGUGCCUUCAUUAACCACAAGGACUAAGUCUACCAAAGUGACCCACUGGAUGCUUAUUAUCCUCUCUUUGUAAUAUGAUGGCAUUUAUAAAAGUAAUACUGAGAAAAUCCAAAGCUUAUAAUUUGGAAACAUAAAUCUACCCAUAACACUGUUUUUAAGCACCAGACAAAUUCAAACUCACUUGCUUCUAAGCAACUCUUGCUUAAACAAAUUAAGAACAUCUUUUAGACAUUUCUGCCAGGAAAAACUUUGGCAUCUGCUAAGGGACUUCCUCAGUUAUAAUAAGGAUAACGAUGUUCCUUAUUUGUAUCCUUUUUGUUUGGGUUGCCAGGAAACUUCGCACUCAAUAAUCGUAUAUAUCUCUUUCCUCUUCCUGUUAGUGCUCUUGGUUUACUAUUUCUAGUUCGAGUUUUUCAUAUUCAUUGUAAAGUAUAUUUUUUGUAAGUUACUUCAGAACUUCUGUGGGAAAAUCCAGGGCGCAUAAAUUGUACAGAGGCCAAAACAG
RNAcentral lists this long non-coding RNA (1023 nucleotides) under Homo sapiens (human). RNAcentral's name for it is "HSALNT0310926". The record is from RNAcentral. Lineage: Eukaryota; Metazoa; Chordata; Mammalia; Primates; Hominidae.